RNAcentral lists this small RNA (2359 nucleotides) under Pongo abelii (Sumatran orangutan). RNAcentral describes it as "processed transcript". Lineage: Eukaryota; Metazoa; Chordata; Mammalia; Primates; Hominidae. The record is from RNAcentral.
GUGACGCACUUCCGGCAGCGCCGGGAAGCCGCCCGCUACGGAGCUCCAGCCCUUCUCUGAGAGGGGGGACCAGGGGAUGGCAGCCAUGCACCUGACAGCCUGGCCCCAGUAGAUAUUCAGACUGACAAUGAUUUGACAAAGGAAAUGUAUGAACGAAAAGAGAAUGUAUCAUUUGAACUUCAAAGAGACUUUUCCCAGGAAACAGACUUUUCAGAAGCCUCUCUUCUAGAGAAACAACAGGAAGUCUACUCAGCAGGAAAUAUAAAGAAGGAGAAGAGCAGCACCAUUGAUGGAACAGUGAAAGAUGAGACAAGCCCUGUGGAGGAGUGUUUUUUUAGUCAAAGUUCAAACUCAUAUCAGUGUCAUACCAUCACAGGAGAGCAGCCCUCUGGGUGUGCAGGAUUGGGGAAAUCCAUCAGCUUUGAUACAAAACUCGUUAAGCAUGAAAUAAUUAAUUCUGAGGAAAGACCUUUCAAAUGUGAAGAAUUAGUAGAGCCCUUUAGGUGUGACUCUCAACUUACUCAACAUCAAGAAAACAACACUGAGGAAAAGCCUUAUCAGUGUUCGGAGUGUGGCAAAGCUUUCAGCAUUAACGAGAAAUUAAUUUGGCAUCAGAGACUUCACAGUGGGGAGAAACCCUUCAAAUGUGUGGAGUGUGGGAAAAGCUUCAGCUACAGUUCCCAUUAUAUCACACAUCAGACAAUCCACAGUGGGGAGAAGCCCUAUCAGUGUAAGGUGUGUGGGAAGGCCUUCAGUGUUAAUGGAAGCCUAAGUAGGCAUCAGAGAAUCCAUACAGGAGAGAAGCCCUAUCAGUGCAAGGAAUGUGGAAAUGGCUUCAGCUGUAGUUCUGCAUAUAUUACACAUCAGAGAGUCCACACUGGAGAGAAACCUUACGAGUGUAAUGACUGUGGGAAAGCGUUCAAUGUUAAUGCAAAAUUAAUUCAACAUCAGAGAAUCCACACUGGAGAGAAACCUUAUGAAUGUAAUGAAUGUGGAAAAGGCUUCAGGUGCAGCUCCCAGCUUAGGCAGCAUCAGAGCAUCCACACAGGAGAAAAGCCCUAUCAGUGUAAAGAGUGUGGAAAAGGCUUCAAUAAUAAUACAAAACUCAUUCAGCAUCAGAGAAUCCACACAGGUGAGAAACCCUAUGAAUGCACUGAAUGUGGAAAAGCCUUCAGUGUCAAAGGGAAGUUAAUCCAACACCAGAGAAUUCACACAGGCGAGAAACCCUAUGAGUGUAAUGAAUGCGGGAAAGCCUUCAGAUGUAACUCCCAAUUUCGGCAGCAUCUGAGAAUUCACACUGGGGAGAAGCCCUAUGAGUGUAAUGAGUGUGGAAAGGCCUUCAGCGUUAAUGGGAAACUAAUGCGGCAUCAGAGAAUUCACACUGGGGAGAAACCUUUUGAAUGUAAUGAGUGUGGGAGAUGCUUUACUUCUAAAAGAAACCUACUUGAUCAUCACCGAAUCCAUACUGGAGAAAAGCCCUAUCAAUGUAAGGAAUGUGGGAAAGCCUUCAGUAUCAAUGCCAAACUAACUAGGCAUCAGAGGAUACAUACUGGGGAGAAACCUUUCAAAUGUAUGGAAUGUGAGAAAGCGUUCAGCUGUAGUUCUAACUAUAUUGUACACCAGAGAAUCCAUACAGGAGAGAAACCCUUUCAGUGUAAGGAGUGUGGAAAAGCCUUCCAUGUUAAUGCCCAUUUAAUUCGGCAUCAGAGAAGCCAUACUGGGGAGAAACCCUUCAGAUGUGUGGAAUGUGGCAAAGGCUUCAGCUUUAGUUCUGACUACAUUAUACAUCAGACAGUCCACACUUGGAAGAAACCCUAUAUGUGUAGUGUGUGUGGGAAAGCAUUCAGGUUUAGCUUCCAGCUCAGUCAGCAUCAGAGUGUCCAUAGUGAAGGAAAAUCCUAAUAAUGAGAAAGAUAUAGAAAACUCUUAAGGUUAAUGCCAAAAUGGAUCAAGUAUCAUCAGAUUCAUCCAUUGAAAAACCCCCAAGAGGGCAUGAAUAUGGCAGAGUCUUCAUAUGAAAACAGUUUUUAUUCUAUUCAGUUUUAAUCAGGAAAGGAUGACCAGUUAAAGAGAAACAUCCAAAAAUAAAUAGCUUUGUUUUGUACCAACAGGAAUUAGAAAAUAUAAUGAAAAGAUUUUGUUCCCAGCAGCAUCAAGAAAAGUAGAUUUUCUAGAAAUAAACAGUUAUGGAGGACUUGUAUGGAGAAAUUUAAGUCUUCACUGAGGGCCACUUUACAAAGGAAAUUUGAAUAAAUAGAGAGAGAAGCCUUGUUGUUGGAUAGGAAAACCCAUACUAAAGAUACUCUACCUACAUUAAUUUAUUUGUUUAAUUUUUGACAACAAGCAUGUAUUACUUUUG